CCUACGGGAGGCAGCAGUGGGGAAUAUUGCACAAUGGGGGGAACCCUGAUGCAGCAAUGCCGCGUGGGUGAAGAAGCACUCCGGUGCGUAAAGCCCUGUUAGCAGGGAAGAAAAUGACAGUACCUGACCAAGAAGGCCCGGCAAACUACGCGCCAGCAGCCGUGGUAAUACGUAGGGGGCAAGCGUUAUCCGGAUUGACUGGGUGUAAAGGGAGCGCAGGCGGUAUGGCAAGUCAGAUGUGAAAACCCAGGGCCCAACCCGGGGACUGCAUUUGAAACUGCCAGACUGGAGUGCCGGAGAGGUAAGUGGAAUUCCUAGUGUAGCGGUGGAAUGCGUAGAUAUUAGGAAGAACACCGGUGGCGAAGGCAGCUUACUGGACGGUAACUGACGCUGAGGCUCGAAAGCGUGGGGAGCGAACAGGAUUAGAUACCCUUGUAGUC
RNAcentral lists this ribosomal RNA (440 nucleotides) under uncultured bacterium. RNAcentral describes it as "partial 16S ribosomal RNA". It matches the Rfam family "Bacterial small subunit ribosomal RNA", at positions 338 to 795 of the family's 1533-position model. The record is from RNAcentral.